AUGAGGAUAACAAGCCUGAGGACUAUGACGAUGCGAUAUGGAUUGAUCUUGCUCGAUGGGAUCGGCACCUUUCGCCAUAGGGGCUGGCGUGCCUCGGCCAAGCUGCAAAAUUAUUUUGGACCUCGUUCCUCCGAUGAGAUCCAGCAACCAGACCGGACUCCAUGGAAGAAAGCAGAAGAGGAGUGAAGAGAGAAUGAGUAAGGAAUGAGAGGUUUUAUGGUGAGAGAGGUUACGUCUACACCAACUGUGAGUUGGGGGGUCUCUGAGUUUGAGUUCUUGAGUCCAGUAGAAGUUAGGCGUUGAUUUCCUUUGGGCAGCUGAAGGCCUGACCGAAUUUUGUAACUUGCUACGGAGAGAAGCAUGUGGCCAGUAAAAGAGAUUUUGAUUCAUUCUAUGAGAUGGGUACGUGCUACCAAAAAUUAGGGGGUGUGUCAUUAGUUGAAUCAAAAGAUAAUG
Asparagus officinalis (garden asparagus) is the source of this 456-nucleotide long non-coding RNA. RefSeq lists it as uncharacterized. The record is from RefSeq and is a predicted model, not a curated record. The transcript has 3 exons. Lineage: Eukaryota; Viridiplantae; Streptophyta; Magnoliopsida; Asparagales; Asparagaceae.